CUUACAGGGCGAUGAUGCAUAGCCGAGUUGAGAGACUGAUCGGGCCACAUUGGGACUGAGACACGGGCCAAAACUCUACGGGGAGGCAGCAGUGGGAAUCUUCCACAAUGGACGCAAGUCUGAUGGAGCAACGCCGCGUGAGUGAAGAAGGUUUUCGGAUCGUAAAAGCUCUGUUGUUGGUGAAGAAGGAUAGAGGUAGUAACUGGCCUUUAUUUGACGGUAAUCAACCAGAAGUCACGGCUAACUACGUGCCAGCAGCCGCGGUAAU
Molecule: ribosomal RNA, 268 nt
Filed under: uncultured Lactobacillus sp.
Lineage: Bacteria; Bacillati; Bacillota; Bacilli; Lactobacillales; Lactobacillaceae
Description: partial 16S ribosomal RNA
Rfam family: Bacterial small subunit ribosomal RNA
Source: RNAcentral